UAGAUCGGUAAAAUCAGUCCCCGCCUCCAAUCGACCACAUCCACUCCUCCCCCAAUCCCCGUCUCCUCUCCUCCGGCCCCAAUCAGCCGCCUCUCUCAUUUUCUCUCCCUCCGGCACCCUCCUCCAGCUAUCCAAAUUGGAGUAACUGUGACACGUGCAUGGGAGGAGGAGGCGCUACAGGCUGGUGCAGGAGGUGGCGGCCGUGGGGUGGGGUGGGGUGGGGGGGCUGUAGCCGCUGUUGGUGGACGAUGGUGGCCUCAACUGAAGAAGUUGUGUGCCCUCUUCACUCCCCCACCGGCCCUCACCCCUCUCGUCUUCUUCCCGACUAAAAUGGUGCCAGAAGCUCGUCGCCUCUGCCUUUUCUUUCUCCCUCCGGCUGUGGCACCAUUCGUCUCUCAGAGAAAUGCAGGAGAACAUGUUGGACCAAGGAGGAGGGGUGGCCCCGGUGUGGGAGUUUGUGAUGCAUCCAGUGUAGCAUGGUGGCUCUGGCUGAGGAAUGACUGUCUUUCCUUGUAGAAAUAGGAAGGCAACAAUGAGGAAAUUAGCCAAUGAACUGGUUGAUAAAUGGGUAUUUCCGUGUUCUUUAUAGAAGGCAAUUCUUAAGCUUGCUGAUGCGCACAUUGAUAUUUUGUAUGGGAGAUAUGGUUUCCGAUGGCGUUGUCCAAGAACAAGCAGCUCGAAAAGGGAGGAUUUUGUUACCCUAAUGCAGAUGAUCCCUGGCUUCUGAAACUUUAUUAUACGAACCGUGUUGGAGCUGCAGAGACAUGAGCUGCCUCUUGGAGCCGCAUACAGUCUAUUCGGGUGUGUACUUACCUGCAGUAUGUAUGGCAGUUGGAGCAGCUUGCCAAUUAGUACCAUGAAAGGUAAUAUACCUCUCCACCUCUAUGUAUCAUGGAUAUCAUUGUUGGGUGAGAAAUGCUAGAGCUUACCACCGUUCUGUUGUGCUAGAGCUUAGCACCGUUCUGUUGUGCUAGAUGUUUGGUGUUUCUCUUUAAUAAGAAACUAUUUCUCAGGAAGCGGAAUGCAACUAUGUUGCACCCCUCUUCCAGUUGGCAGGCAUUCACGGUAAAUCAUGAGUGUACGCCCUUUUUGUGUAUUUUAAUUUAUCCUGCAUUUGGUUCAGUUGCUACAUCCAGUAAUGGACUGCAAUUUAACCUGAGAGUUACACCGUCCUUGCUUAAAAAUCAUUACAGGCGACACUCAUUUUUUUUCAUUUGUCUUUCCAUUCUCCUUAAGAAGCUCUUUUAGUUUGUAUGCCCGGUAGGCCUUAAAGAUGAUGUGAUAAUCUAUUCCCGCGUAAAUUAUGGGGUUACUUGUUUCUUGAUAUCAGCUAUGACUUGCAUGAGCGAGAAUACACUAUUUUUACGUAUUUUGAUUUGUUGAGAUUUUCAAGUCACCUUUAUAUUUCUGUAGUAAUCUGAUAAUGUCUUAGGCUUCAGUUUGCACUUAUUUUACAAAAUUUUAUUUGUUAUACAUGUUAUCUUUAUACAUGAAAGAUUGAUUCUCCUUAAAAAAUCUUAUACUACCUCCGUUCCAAAAAAAGCUUCUCCCCUUUUCCCCAAAAUGGAUGUAUCUAUAACUAAAAGGUGUCUAUGUACAUCCGUAUUUGGACAAAGUUGAGAAGCUUUUUUUAGGACGGAGGUAGUACAUGAUUUGAAGCUUUCAAAAACCUACUAAAUUCUUGGACAACUAAACAAACAUCAGCUCAUUCAAACUUAUGGUUACAGUAUUGUCUUGCUUUUGCCUCGCGCCGGGGCGCACCGGGUCAUCUAUUAAUCCUUGCCAAGCUCAUUGUUGAGAUAUGUGCAGGUUCAAAUUCUGAAAAGGGUUCAAGAGAUUCAUAUUGAUAUGUCCCUCUCCACUUACUCCAUUGCAAGAGCCAUUAUUGGGGACCAAGGCCGUUGGCCUCUCUCUCGCAAGGCAGGACCAUGUCAAUCGGUAGUGCUAAUGGCUGGAGGAAGUAGUAUUCUGGCUGGUGACUUAUUGUCUUAAUUUCAUUGUUCAGUUGAGGUAGACGAUCAGAUGGAACAUGUACUGAAUUUGAGCCCACGAAGGUAUUUUUGCUAUAAUUUAUUCUGUUCAUCUCUAGCGUCACGCCUACUGUCAAUUCAGAUUAAAGCAUGGUACAGAAGUGCAUAGUUCUAAAGAAUGGAUGUUGAGCUCAGAUUUUAAUGUUUGGGUUUCGGUGGCAGGAGAUUCUUGCACUGUCGGUGACAACAGCUGGCAUUUGGUGAUUAGUAUUUUUUUUGCCUUUUAUAUUAAUGUACUUGUAAUUUAUCUUCCGUAAAUAUUUAUGAUUCAUGCUUGAGGGAUGCACAAGUAUAUGAGCUAUCAAUCAUGAAAUGGGAACUAAUUGUACUGUAUAACAAACUUUUUCAGUACGGGUAUUUGUUACACUAUUGAUUUGGAUUUAAACAAUGAUGUUUUAGUGUAGUUAUGGCGAUCCGUGAUCGCUAUAGUUUUUAAUUGCUAUUCAAUAGAAAAUGUGACCUGAUGCUUAAUAUUGCAGUGACUACGAGCAACAACUUGAGUAAGAGUGCCUGCUAUGGCUGGUCCAGGAUAGCCCCAAAAGAGCAGAUCCAUAUGGCAUGCACAAAAGUUAUUGCCAAGUGACUGCUUGAGAUCUUUUUUUUUUUGUAAGGAGCUUUAACCUUCUAGGUAGCUCGUUAGACUACUGUUUGCAAUUGCCCAAUAGUUUUGUACAGUGCUGUUGUCUAAUCAAUACCAAGCGCUACAAAUUACAUGACAUUUUAAUAGACUUCUGUCCCUCCUAUGAUAUAUUUAUACUGCAUCUAUGAUUGGUCGGGUUAUUCCCUUCAUGAAAAUAAAAUUCUCCUAUUUGUGAAUCCAACAUCAA
Lolium perenne is the source of this 2857-nucleotide long non-coding RNA. RefSeq lists it as uncharacterized. NCBI's taxonomy places the organism in Eukaryota, Viridiplantae, Streptophyta, Magnoliopsida, Poales, Poaceae. The record is from RefSeq and is a predicted model, not a curated record.